Molecule: long non-coding RNA, 2181 nt
Filed under: Equus caballus (horse)
Lineage: Eukaryota; Metazoa; Chordata; Mammalia; Perissodactyla; Equidae
Description: lncRNA (ENSECAG00000054340.1)
Source: RNAcentral
AGGGGACUUAGGAAGAUGAGAGGUGCGGGCUUGACGCCCAUGAGAAGCCCCAAAGCUGAGCCUCAGUUUCUGCCACGUGUCCAGAGCGUAGAAAAUGAUCCACAGUGGUGUAGGGAAGCCGAAUGCCUAGUGGGGAUAGGCUGAAAAAUUGUGGGGAAAAUCCCAGUCUGAGCUUCUAUGGACAGAAAAGGGCAGAAAGAGGGAGGGAGUUGGAGAGGACGGUGAACAAUAAUGACCCCGUUUCCUGAGUGCUCAUCCUGUGCCACGCAUGGAGCCGCGGCUUGACAAGCAUCUUUACUGCAACCCUAUUCCGCCAGUGAGCCUGAGACCCAGGGAGCUUAGAAACCCGGCCAGAAUCUGGCAGAGGGGGGGCCCUAACCCGCCGUCUGAGCCCACGGUGGCACCCUUAAUCACCAAGCUCCACAGUGUGGAGGACGAGAGAGUGGAACUACCGGAGAAGACACGGGGAUGCGGCUCGGAGAGAGAGGAUGGACUGAAGCGAUUUGAAAGGCAGGCGUUGUGGAAAGCAUACACGGAUAUUUUUUUCUUUCAUUUAAUCCUCAAACAAGCCUAUGAGAAUGACUACCUUUCAGGUAGCAAAAACGGCUUCAACAACUCCACUCCUCACAUCCACAAACCACACUGCCUCUGAAGAAGGGAGAGCAUACCUUGUCCCAAGUUUCUGAAUAAAAGCCCCAAACUUCCCCUGGCUGGCACUGAUUUUGUCUAUUUGCUCAACACUGAACCGUUCACUGUGGCCAAAGCCCGGGCCCAUUGAUCAGCUUGGGCUGGAUCACACGCUCCCUCUGAAGGCAGCAGGACUGUAGAGCCGCGGGGCCCACAAAUGGACACCAGGGCUUCCUGGAAAGUGACAGACAUGCUGAUGAGGCCAAAAAUUGUCUCCUGCACUUCAUCUCAGAUUGUCCAGGGCAGCUCCAAUUGCAUAUUUCUGUUGUUGUUUUUCUAGAACUAUUACCAAAUGCAUGAGGAUGAGUUUUUAGCUACAACACCAAAGGGACACUUCAUGAAAGAAAUAAUUGGUAAGCUGAACUUCCUUACACUUAAAACUUCUGCUCUGUGAAAGACACUGGGAAGAGAGUGAGAAGAGAAGCCAUAGACUGGGAGAAAAUAUUUGCAAAGGCCACAUCUGAAAAGGAUUGUUAUCCAACAUUUACAAAGAACUCUUAAAACACAACAAUAAGAAAACAAACAACUCAAUUAAAAAAAUGGACUGAAAACCUUAACAGACACUCCACCAAAGAAGAUAUACAGAUGGCAAAUAAGCAUCUGCAAAGAUGCUCCACACUAUAUGUCACCAGGGAAAUGCAAAUUAAAACAAUAAUGAGAUACCACUACACACCUAUUAGAAUGGCCAACCUCCAGAGCACUAACACCACCAAGUGCUGGUGAGGAUGCAGAGCAGCAGGAACUCACGUUCACUGCUGGUGGGAAUGCAAAAUGGGCUGGCAACUUUGGAAGAUAAUUUGGCAGUUCUUAGAAAACUAAAUGUACUCUUAUCAUACAAUCCAGCAAUUAUGCUUCCUGGUAUUUACUCAAAGGAGUUGAAAACUUAUGUCCACGCAAAAAACUGCACAAGGUGUUUAUAGCAGCGUUUCUCGUAAUUGCCAAAACUUAGAAGUGACCAAGGCAUUCUUCAGUAGAUGAAUGGAUAAACUGUGUUGCAUCCAGACAAUGGAAUAUUAUUUAGCCCUAAAAAGAAACGAGCUAACAAGCCACAAAAAGACAUGGAGGAACUCUGAACGCAUGUUACUAAAUGAAGAAGCCAAUCUGAAAAGGCUUCAGACUCUAUGAUCCCAACUAUAUGACAUUCUAAAAAGGGCAAAACUAUGGGAAAACGUAAAAAGAUCAGUGGUUGUUAGGCAUGAGAGGGGAGGGAGGCAUGAAUAGGUAGAACACAGAGGAUUUUUAGAGCCGGAAAAUACUCUGUGUGAUGUUAGAAUGAUGGAUAUAUGUCAUUAUACAUUUGUCCAAACCCAUAGAAUGUAUAACGCCAAGAGUGAACCCUAAGGUGAGCUAUGGACUUGGGGUGAUUAUGCGUCGAUGUAGGUUCAUCAAUUGUGACAGAUUACCACUCUAGUGGGAGAUGUUGAUGAUGAGGGCGACCAUGCAUAUGCUGGGACGAGGGGUCUGUGGGAAACUCUAUCUUCUCCUCAAAUUUGU